GACGAACGCUGGCGGCGUGCUUAACACAUGCAAGUCGAACGGAAAGGCCCUGCUUUUGUGGGGUGCUCGAGUGGCGAACGGGUGAGUAACACGUGAGUAACCUGCCCUUGACUUUGGGAUAACUUCAGGAAACUGGGGCUAAUACCGGAUAGGAGCUCCUGCUGCAUGGUGGGGGUUGGAAAGUUUCGGCGGUUGGGGAUGGACUCGCGGCUUAUCAGCUUGUUGGUGGGGUAGUGGCUUACCAAGGCUUUGACGGGUAGCCGGCCUGAGAGGGUGACCGGCCACAUUGGGACUGAGAUACGGCCCAGAAUCCUACGGGAGGCAGCAGUGGGGAAUAUUGCAAAAUGGGCGGAAGCCUGAUGCAGCAACGCCGCGUGCGGGAUGACGGCCUUCGGGUUGUAAACCGCUUUCGCCUGUGACGAAGCGUGAGUGGCGGUAAUGGGUAAAGAAGCACCGGCUAACUACGUG
RNAcentral lists this ribosomal RNA (468 nucleotides) under uncultured bacterium. RNAcentral describes it as "partial 16S ribosomal RNA". It matches the Rfam family "Bacterial small subunit ribosomal RNA", at positions 28 to 507 of the family's 1533-position model. The record is from RNAcentral.